RNAcentral lists this ribosomal RNA (204 nucleotides) under uncultured bacterium. Its description in RNAcentral is "partial 16S ribosomal RNA". It matches the Rfam family "Bacterial small subunit ribosomal RNA", at positions 1298 to 1500 of the family's 1533-position model. The record is from RNAcentral.
UUGCAGUCUGCAACCCGAGUACAUGAAGCUGGAAUCGCUAGUAAUCGCGAAUCAGAAUGUCGCGGUGAAUACGUUCCCGGGUCUUGUACACACCGCCCGUCACACCAUGGGAGUCGGAAAUGCCCGAAGUCGGUGACCGAACCGAAAGGAAGGAGCCGCCGAAGGCAGGUCUGGUGACUGGGGGUGAAGUCGUAACAAGGUAUC